This 65-nucleotide transfer RNA is filed under the name Ictidomys tridecemlineatus (thirteen-lined ground squirrel). Its description in RNAcentral is "Spermophilus tridecemlineatus (thirteen-lined ground squirrel) tRNA". It matches the Rfam family "tRNA". From Rfam's summary of the family: Transfer RNA (tRNA) molecules are approximately 80 nucleotides in length. Their secondary structure includes four short double-helical elements and three loops (D, anti-codon, and T loops). Lineage: Eukaryota; Metazoa; Chordata; Mammalia; Rodentia; Sciuridae. The record is from Rfam by way of RNAcentral.
GGGAUUGUGGCUCAGUGGUAGAGCACUCGCCUAGUGUGAGAACCUGGGUUCGAUCCUCAGCACCA